This 1083-nucleotide long non-coding RNA is filed under the name Musa acuminata (dwarf banana). Its description in RNAcentral is "long non-coding RNA (MACU_LNC000860)". Lineage: Eukaryota; Viridiplantae; Streptophyta; Magnoliopsida; Zingiberales; Musaceae. The record is from RNAcentral.
UCGGGUUGUGCCGUCGAGAGCGUUGGGCCGCCCCAGGGCCUUCAGCGUCAGAUGCGCCGCCUUUUGCCCGGAGAUCAUCAUCGCCCCAAACGUUGGCCCCUGCAACCAAAACCACACAGAACCCACCACCACACACGGAUCAAAUCUUUGUAAAGAUUCAUGUCGACUCAUCGAAUCGUUCUCGAUGAGCUCUGUUUGUCUCGGAAGUAAAUAAGCGAGAAAAAAGAUCCAAUCUUUUGCCAUAAACAACCUGAGAGAAGAAAGCAAUACAAAGAAUAUUGCUUUAUGUUAUAUCUGCAAGUAUAGUAUUCAGAAAGACCGAACUUUUUGGAGUGUUUUUCCCCUAAAAUCGACAAAUAAUUCUCAAAAUCAUACAAAUGACAAAUUUUAGUGCAACAUAAGCUGUAAAGAUUGAAUCUUUAUGAUAAAAGAUAUAAGAACAGAGGUGCCAAGAAAGACGGGAUAUAGAUACCAUUCUUGGAGCGCCAUCGAUCUCGGCGACCUCCAUGCCGGUGACGAUCAUGCCCGGGACGACCUCCCUGGUGAGUCGGACGAUGGCGUCCUCCGCUGCGUUCAUAUCCAGGGCCUUCAUCCCGGGCACCGAGUCGAUCAUCCCGAUGCCCUUCAGCCGCUUAACGCCGGUGGCGCCAAAGGGCCCGUCGUGGCCGCAGGAGCUCACCACCACCUUGGCCUCCAUCACGUUGGGGUCCAUGCAGGACUGGGUGUCAUGGUUCAUGGACACCAGCGCCCAGUUGGUCACCACGCCGGCGACGCGCCCUUCCUUGACGAUGAGGUCCUCGGCGGCGACGGCGUUGAAGAGCUUGACGUUGGGGCGGGCGAUGAGGCGGCUCAAGAUGGUGGAGGUGAAGAGUGCAGCGUGGCGGACCACGACGUAGCUGUCGGCCUCGUCGUACGGGACGCCGAGCUCGUCGAGGAAGAGGUGGGCGGGCUUGCGGACGACCAUGGCGGAGAAGAGCUGGCCGCCGAGCCACGCGCCGCCUCCUGGGGAGACGGACUGCUCCACGAUGGCCACGCGCACGGACGGGUCCUUGGAGAUCUCGUAUGCGCAGGACAGCCCCGCAG